CCGGUGACCCGGCCAACUAACCAAGAUGGCCACCAUGGCUAAAAAUAGAACAUAGGGGUAAAAUGCAGUUUUUGGCUUAUCACUCAAAAACCAAAGCAUUUAGAGCAAAUCUGACAUCGGGUAAAAUUGUUUAUCAGGUCAAGAUCUAUCUGCCCUGAAAUUUUGAGAUGAAUUGGACAACCCGUUGAUAGGUUGCUGCCCCUGAAUUGGUAAUUUUAAGGACAUUUUGCUGUUUUUGGUUAUUAUCUUGAAUAUUAUUAUAGAUAGAGAUAAACUGUAAACAGCAAAAAUGUUCAGCAAAGUAAGAUCUACAAAUAAGUCAAACAAGACCAAAAUGGUCUGUUGAUUUCUUUAGGAGUUAUUGCCCUUUAUAGUCAAUUUUUAACCAUUUUUCGUAAAUCUUAGUUAUCUUUUACAAAAAUCUUCUCCUCUGAAACUACUGGGCAAAAUUAAACCAAACUUGGCCACAAUCAUCAUUGGGGUAUCUAGUUUAAAAAUUGUGUCCCGUGACCUGGCCAACCAACCAAGAUGGCCGCCAUGGCUAAAAAUAGAACAUAGUGGUGAAAUGUAGAUUUUGGCUUAUAACUCUGAAACCGCAGCCUUUAGAGCAAAUCUGACAGGGGUAAAAUUGUUUAUCAGGUCAAGAUCUAUCUGCCCUGAAAUUGUCAGAUGAAUCUGACAACCUGUUGUUGGGUUGCUGCCCCUGAAUUGGUAAUUUUAAGGAAAUUUUGCUGUUUUUUGUUAUUAUCUUGAAUAUUAUUAUAGAUAGAGAUAAACUGUACACAUCAAUAAUGUUAAGCAAAGUAAGAUUUACAAAUAAGUCAACAUGACGGAAAUGGUCAAUUGACCCCUAAGGAGUUAUUGUCCUUUAUAGUCAAUUUUUAACAAUUUUCAUAAAAUUUGUAAAUUUUAACUAACAUUUUCCACUGAAACUACUGGGCCAAGUUCAUUAUAGAUAGAGAUAAUUGUAAGCAGCAAGAAUGUUCAGUAAAGUAAGAUGUACAAACACAUCACCAUCACCAAAACACAAUUUUGUCAUGAAUCCAUCUGCUUCCUUUGUUUAAUAUUCACAUAGACCAAGGUGAGCGACACAGGCUCUUUAGAGCCUCUAGUUAUAGAUAGAGAUAAACUGUAAACAGCAAUAAUGUUCAGCAAAGUAAGAUUUACAAAUAAGUCAACAUGACCGAAAUGGUCAAUUGACCCCUAAGGAGUUAUUGUCCUUUAUCAUGUUUAUAGUCAAUUUUUAACAAUUUUCAUAAAAUUUGUAAAUUUUUAUUAACAUUUUCCGCUGAAACUACUGGGCCAAGUUCAUUAUAGAUAGAGAUAAUUGUAAGCAGCAAGACUGUUUAGUAAAGUAAGAUGUACAAACACAUCACCAUCACCAAAACACAAUUUUGUCAUGAAUCCAUCUGCUUCCUUUGUUAAAUAUUCAUAUAGAC
Molecule: long non-coding RNA, 1439 nt
Filed under: Mytilus galloprovincialis (Mediterranean mussel)
Lineage: Eukaryota; Metazoa; Mollusca; Bivalvia; Mytilida; Mytilidae
Source: RNAcentral